UCACAGGGUUUUUUUAAAUCCAUUCACAUUUAUAUACAGAUUUUUG
This is a non-coding RNA of Loxodonta africana (African savanna elephant), 46 nucleotides long. NCBI's taxonomy places the organism in Eukaryota, Metazoa, Chordata, Mammalia, Proboscidea, Elephantidae. The record is from Rfam.